Molecule: long non-coding RNA, 1730 nt
Organism: Triticum dicoccoides
Lineage: Eukaryota; Viridiplantae; Streptophyta; Magnoliopsida; Poales; Poaceae
Exons: 2
Source: RefSeq, a predicted model, not a curated record
UCCUGCAGAGGUGCAGCAGCACGGGAUCCCCUCCAAAAGUAGCAUCUUCUUCUUCCUCUGGUUCUUCUUCUUCUUCCCCGGAUCUGAUGCGUGUGUGUGUUCGCGUGGUUGUGUGCAGACAGUUAAAGGAAGGGGGCGGGCCAUGGAGAAGCUGCAAGGUGUGGGCCUGAAGCCAUGGAUGGAUGUGUUUGGUAUGAGGAUAGAGGACGGCGAGGUGGCACCGAACCGAGCGGCGGGCAAGGACGAAGUGAAGCUGCGCGCACCGUCGUCAUAUCCCUCCUCCGCCUGCUGUUACUGGAAGCAAGCGCAGUACCAUCUCAUUUCAUCCACGACGUGAGGUCUGGUCCGCGUGCCCGCGAGCUGCUUGUGUUUAUGCCCAUAUUGUUUCACUGUUCACCGACACCCCACGGCAGCCUACAGCCUCUACCCACCUACAAUCCUCAUUGUUUGUUUAGUGCUCACUAACCCACAUUGAACGAUUCCAGUCGAUGAAUGAAUGCAUCUGGUCCAGCAAGAGGGGAGGGCAGAGCAGAGCAGGGCAUCCAAUGCGUUUCUUUCCCAUAUACUUUUGCCUGCUUCAAGUACUAGCAUAUGUAUGAUCAUCAUUAGAGGCUAAUCUCCUUUUUGCCGGGUCAGUGGAUGCUAAUCAUAGUUUAAGACUUUGGUCGGUCAAGUCAAGAACAACUAGUACAUAUGUAGUGACAUGUGAUUCAUCGGUCAAGUCAAGCAAGACACAACUACACUCACUCUAAGUGACUCUGCUCUCCCCGUCCGGCGCUUGCAUCCACCACCUGCUGCUCAGCCUCGUCGGCCGGCAACGGAGUUUCGUCCUGCACUAUAUUUCUUGCUCAAUUGUUGUUAGUGCUUAGGUUGUACUAGUAGCAGCAGCACAAGUACAAGAAGGGUUUCAGAUUUCUCACUUGUGCAAAGAAUAAGUUUAGUCAAUCUAAUAUUCAUACUUACACUGUAAAUCCCUAUGUACUUUCAGUGAAUUCCCUUUGUAAUGGUAGUGUUUGCAAUGUACAAUUUCAGUGUAAGAUAGACUAAUAAAAGACUGAAACUACUGUCCAAAUCAUUGUUACUUAACUGAAAAUAUUUAGAAUGAAAAUAUGCACUAUAAUUUAAUGUGCAUUUUUUCCCAGUAAUGUGCAUUCCUUCUCUUUUUGGUUGCCUGAAUUUAAAGUGGUUUUGGACCGUAAUUUUCAGUAAUGUGUCACUUCUAGUUUACUUGAAUAUUUUCGGCUUACAUGAAGGGAUGCAUGCUCUUCAUCUUGCAGGUAUGACUCAUCCUCGCAUUCUUACUUCGCCUUUGUUUCCUUCAGCUUCUUGAUCCUGAAAUUUUAUGAUAAAUUGGUGAUCGACGAGGACUACUGCGGCCCGAUGGGAGUCCUGCUCUUCAACUACUCGGAGGCAGACUUCACCGUGAAGCCCCGCGACCGUGUCAUAGAGAUUAUCGUCCAGGUGAUUGCGACGCAGGAGGUCCCCGGGGUGGAGGACCUCGACGCCACCGUCCGGAGUUCCUCAAGGUGGAGGACCUCGACGCUUUGUACAUACAUCUAGAGAAGUGGUCUGGUUAGGUUGGUGGUGAAAUGCUAGGGAAGGUACCAACCUUUUGAUGAUGGUUGUGUGUGUCCUCGUGAUCUCUUCGAAUUGAGAUGUUGAAUGUUGCAUCCAUGAACACUGCAAGUGUUAAGAUGGUUCUGUGAAAUUUAUUUUGCAUUGGACGUGUC